UACGUAGGGGGCAAGCGUUGUCCGGAAUCAUUGGGCGUAAAGCGCGUGUAGGCGGCCCGAUAAGUCCGCUGUGAAAGUCCAGGGCUCAACCCUGGAAUGCCGGUGGAUACUGUCGGGCUCGAGUCCGGAAGAGGCGAGUGGAAUUCCUGGUGGUAGCGGUGAAAUGCGCAGAUAUCAGGAGGAACACCAAUGGCGAAGGCAGCUCGCUGGGACGGUACUGACGCUGAGACGCGAAAGCGUGGGGAGCAAACAGG
This 254-nucleotide ribosomal RNA is filed under the name uncultured bacterium. RNAcentral's name for it is "partial 16S ribosomal RNA". It matches the Rfam family "Bacterial small subunit ribosomal RNA", at positions 524 to 776 of the family's 1533-position model. The record is from RNAcentral.